This is a non-coding RNA of Ictidomys tridecemlineatus (thirteen-lined ground squirrel), 72 nucleotides long. The record is from Rfam. Lineage: Eukaryota; Metazoa; Chordata; Mammalia; Rodentia; Sciuridae.
GGUGUUGUGGCUCAGUGGCAGAGUGCUUGCCUUGCACAUGAGAGGCACUGAGUUUGAUCCUCAGUACCACAA